AAAAAUUAUUUCUUAGCCUUGAUUGGAUUCUAGCCAGGCAUCCAGUGUUGUAGCUCUCACAUUCUCACUACAUGUAGUAAUAUUUUCCCUGUUUUCAUUGCUACCAUUUCAGUUUGUCUGCACAUCAAAAAUCACAUGUGGAUAGAAAUGGUCUCUUCCCCUGAAGUACUGUACAUGAAUCCUGUGCAAGCUAUACCAAAACCAGCCAUGGUGUUGUCUGAGCCCGAUCCUGCAAAUCAUUUCUCCAGGCAGCCCUCGCAUGCAAGGGAUCCCAGGCAUAGCAAAAAGACUGCGGGUUUGACUGGUGAGUUACGUGCUCGGGUUGUCUUAUCACCUCUUGUGCUGACUUACCAUGUACAGGAAGAGCCUAACAAUUACUGGCCUGUAUUUUCUUCCCCAGUUAGCACAUAUUUAUUUGCAAAGGGGACUGGGGCCACAUAUCCCUUAUUUACAUAUUUGUUUUUUACUAAAUCUUACUCUGCACAGGCUGCAACUAAGUGGCAUACAGAACUGAAUGUAAAUUCUCACCAAACUGAUGAUUGA
This 543-nucleotide long non-coding RNA is filed under the name Numida meleagris (helmeted guineafowl). RNAcentral describes it as "lncRNA (ENSNMEG00000021654.1)". Lineage: Eukaryota; Metazoa; Chordata; Aves; Galliformes; Numididae. The record is from RNAcentral.